UGCAGUGUUACUCUACAUUCUUUACUGUAGUCCCCUGAAGAUCUGCAUGGUUUCCCAGCCUGUUCUCUGUGACUGCUGCUUAAAAUGUCCUACAAAACAAAGUGCAGCCAGCUCAUGAAUGACUUUUCAUUAAAAGACACCCGUCUCAUGACACAUCUAUGAACAUCCCAUUGGAGGCUACCAUCUCCUGCUAAGGGCAUGGAAGUAAACUCAGAAACUGAAACAGAUGCCUUCGCCCACAGAUUCUAAAAUCAGAGGGUAUUCAUAAACCGCCCCACAAAUUUGAGAGCAUAGUGGGAAACAGGAACUGUUAAAAAAA
Peromyscus leucopus (white-footed mouse) is the source of this 319-nucleotide long non-coding RNA. RefSeq lists it as uncharacterized. The record is from RefSeq and is a predicted model, not a curated record. Lineage: Eukaryota; Metazoa; Chordata; Mammalia; Rodentia; Cricetidae. The transcript has 2 exons.